This 636-nucleotide ribosomal RNA is filed under the name Triticum aestivum (bread wheat). Its description in RNAcentral is "partial small subunit ribosomal RNA". The record is from RNAcentral. Lineage: Eukaryota; Viridiplantae; Streptophyta; Magnoliopsida; Poales; Poaceae.
AGGGACAUUAGGACCCAUGUUGACGGGUUCUAUAGGGCCUUAUUCUCCUCCGCUCCUAGGAGCGGACUAUCUCUGGCUCCCGAUUGCUGGACUGGCAUCCAGUUAGUCUCCGCUGCGCAGAACGUGGCCCUCACUGCCCCCUUCUCUGAGGGAAAGGUUUGGGCUGCCAUCAGAGGCAUGAACCCUACCUCGGCUCCUGGCCUGGAUGGCCUGCCGGUAAAAAUUUUCCAGGCCUUCUGGAAUGUGAUUAAGCCUGAGAUCAUGGCCAUCUUCCAUGAGUUCUACGUGGGAUCCAUUGACCUCGGACGCCUCAACUACGGGAUUAUUUCGCUCAUCCCCAAAGUACCUGGGGCGUCCGACAUCCGUCAGUUCCAGCCAAUCACGGUUAUCAAUGUGAUCUUCCGGAUUCUGGCUAAAGGGUACACCAAUAGGGUGACCCUGCUCGCCGACAACAUCACCCACCCCAACCAGACCGCCUUCAUUCAAGGACGGUAUAUUCUGGAUGGGGUGUUAGUCCUCCAUGAGGUCCUCCAUGAGGUCCGGUCCAAACGCCUCAAGGCGGUCUUCCUAAAGAUCGACUUCUGUAAGGCAUACGAUACUGUUAGCUGGCCCUUCCUUCGGGAAGUUCUGCCCUAG